Molecule: long non-coding RNA, 3852 nt
Organism: Anolis carolinensis (green anole)
Lineage: Eukaryota; Metazoa; Chordata; Lepidosauria; Squamata; Anolidae
Exons: 5
Source: RefSeq, a predicted model, not a curated record
AACCUAUAUCAAGAAAAGAUGGAAAGUGUAUCUUUUCAACUAGCUCAUCCUAGGGUUUUCUGACUGUCUGUCUGUACCUACCUCUCCAUUUAUCUCAUCUAUCCUGGUGCCCUGAGUGGGGACUGAUUAUCCCGUGCCUUGUUUGGACUACAUUUAGCUCACCAACAGAAUCCAGAGAAAGCACAGCAACACACCCAAAGGAUGAAAAAUGAAGGGAAAAGAAUGAAAUAAGGGGAAAAAACAUUUCAAAGCAACAUCAAUACGGAGUGGGGGUCUUCCACUGAGAUUUGAUUGCCUUCAAAUGGAAUUGGCUACGAACAGUCUAAGAGAAAACCUCAAUAUGCUGUAAUAAAUUUUUGAGGAGAUGGAUGGCUCCAGUGCAAGUUAUUGCAGAGAGAAGGGAGUUGCUAAUGAUUUGCUGAAAUCACUGCAGCCUGUGCUGCUACACCAGAGGGCAGAGAGAGAGGAGCAGCAGCAUGCAGCAUUAACAACAAUAGGAAUAACAUUGGCAACAACAACCAAAUGAGGCUUUCAUUUAUACAUUGCAUUUAGAAAUGCAAUGAGCUAUAUAGAAAGAACAUACAUUGGUACUGAUUGAGGGAGGAAAUAUAGGAAAGAAAUGCAUGAGCAGUGGAAUCUCUGUUGCUGCAGAUUUUCCACAGUCUUCCUCCAUCUGAGAAAAAAAAAUCAAUUUUGCUCAUUCCCUUUUGCCCAGAUCCUGCUAAGGGCCAGACGUGAACAGAAUCAGGUUUCCAAGUGAGUAUCCCAAGCAGCCAAGGGGGAACUAUGUGUGCCCACCCAUGCUGCACACACACACACACACACACACACACACACACACACACACACACACACACACACACACUUCCAGUUUGUCCCAGCAGCUAGAAUUGCACAUACCUUGUAUAGCCCUGAAAAAUAGAAUUGGAAUUACAUUGGAAGGGAAAGCAAGGGCUUGAUCCUGUUCUCACAAUUCCCCCCUUCACUGAAUCAGCCUUUUCUUUUUAAAAUAUGUAAAAUACACAUCUCUUUUUAAAGUACGUGAUUUUGCAUACAUGUCUUCUAAUAGAUCAAUUUGUGCACAUUUUCCCCAUGUACACAAUUUUGCACACUCCUUUAAUCAGAUAGCUGCAUCACAAAAUUUGAAUGAGUGCAAAGAAAGAGCGAUAAUUGCAUUCCUUUCUCUAUAUUCAUUUGGGAAAUGUGAAUUAGGUCACUUUGUAUUAAAAUGUAAAUCAAAUGGGCUUUCUCUACCUCUGUUUACAGUGCUAAGCUGUGGCUCCAUCUGUAUUCACUGAUGAUUUGAAGCCUGAUUUUUUACUUCCUUGCCAACAUGUGAGAAAGUGAUAGCUUUAAUCAAAGGUGACUUGGGAUUGCAUGUUGACCUCAAUGUUUCAGUCAUUUCCACAGACAAAAUAUGGCGUUUGUCUCCCUGUGAUGUGAGUGAUGAUCGUGGUGGUGGUGUCGAUAACAUUGAUGCUGAUGAGAAUGGGAAUGGUGGUGGUGGUGAGGACCAUAGUGGCUGUAAUAAACAUGGUAUAGAUAGUUAAGAUUAACAGGGAAGGGGGAGAGGAGGAGAAUGUGGCAAUGAUUAUGAUAGUGGUAGUGAUAAUAGUCAUUGUCCUGUAUCAUAUGACAAGCUCGGAAACAAAUCAGCAACCAAAUCAAUCAAAGAAGAAUGGAAAGAAUUGAUGUGUUAUUGAAGUAGUCUUGGUCCUAAAGCACAAUCCAUGCUUCAAGCAGGGUCAAAAGCCACUCAGGGAGUAACCAAAAGGAAAAGUCCAAAAAACAAGCCAACACUGAGAAAAAUAGAAAACAGGAACUAUCACGAUGAAGACAGUGGAACUAUUGUUCUGCAGCACAGAUGAUGUUAUUAUCAUGGCAUUUUCCUUUUAAGGCAGGGCACACCUUUGUCUGCACUUUGGUUGCUCUAGCUUUAGUCUGAGCCCUCAAAGGACAAAAUAGCUGAGCCUCCAACUCAAUCUCUUCAAGGUCAGCUUAUGAAGACUCAGGCUCUGCUUCCUAUGACUGUGACAGGAGCCUAUAAUGUGGACUAAGCUCUUCCCAUUCUGUUUCUUCAGAUAGUCAUCAGCGGGGGGAAAAUCUAUUCCAUUCACCUCUUCAAAGAAGCAAAAGUGAUUGGGGAAAAGGUGAAUGGAUGCAUCAGCAGGCAACUGAGACUUACUUCUGACAACAAUUAAUUUGGUACCUGUCUUCCUUUGCCUGAGUAGAACACCUGGAGAUGGCAUGCAGGAAGAGGAGGCAGGAUCCAUGGGGCAGCUGACAUUUCUGCAGCAGGAUAGGGAAAGCCUAUCAUGUGAUGCGAAUGUCUGAGAAUGCUUCAGCAGAGAAUUGCCUAGAAAGCAAACGCUACUGUAAGCAACACCUUGCAUUCAUAGAAAAUCCCAUGAUAGGCUUGUUUAAAGAUCAAAAACAACUUGAAGACACAACAACAACAACAACAACAACAACAACAACAACAACAACAACAAAGGCAGAGGAGGAGUCUCUGGCCUCUGGAGGACCUGAAUCAACCUGUGGAGGUAUUUGGAACAUUCUUGCUUCAGAGCACAGACGAGACAAGAGGCAUAUAACUGUGGUGUUUGUUGUUGUAUCAUUCGUCAUUUCUGACUUAUAGCAAUUCUACAGUCAACCAAUUAUGGGUUGUUGUUGGGGUUUUUUUGGCAGGGUUUGUUCAAUUUGUACUCCUGAGGCUGAAAGAGCGUGACUUGGCCAAGGUCACCCAAUGGGUUUCUGUGAGUGAGCAGAUAUUUGAAUGGUGGUCUUCAGAGUCAUUGUUCAAACUUCAAACCAUUUCAACAUGCUGGCUCUCCAUCCAGUGGGAUAUUUAUCUAGUCUGAUACCAAAAACCAUUAUGUCAUAUUAGUCUUCUAAUCAAGGUUUCUUGUACCUAAUAACUUUCUUUAAAGGCAAAGCUGUAAUUCCCUUUCAGGCAUAAUGAGAAAUGGUUUAACCCAUUUUGCCAUGUAAUUAUAACUUUUAGAUACAAAUUAUGUUUCUGUUGUUUUAAAAUUAGUACAGAAGAAACCAACAUGUCAUAUGAUUCUGGAGCAUGAAGCCAUGAAGACCAGCUUCAUGACCCUGGACAAGUCACAACCCUUAGCCUCCGAAAACCCUGUGAAAGGCAUUUUUCAGUUUUAUCUUAGGGCUCUUUCAUACCACAUAAUUAUAAUGUUAUGAUUCCACUGUAAAUGUCAACAUAACAUCCUAGAGAAUCCUGGGAUUUGAGGCAUAGGGAGAAACAAUGAGAAUUGUUAGUGAAAGAUCUUUUGUGUUUCAAACAAACUAUAAAUCCCAUAAUUCUAUGGGAUGCAGCCAUGAAAACUGAAACGGAAUCAUGGUGCUAUAAUUGUGUAAAUGUAAAAGGGUCCUAGUAUGGAUGUACAGAAAUGUACAAUUUUGCAACAUUGAUAAUUUGCCUAUUUUCCAUUCUUCUGGAUGAUACGAGUUUGUAGUUCUCUCAAACAGUCAAGUGCUUGGUUUGGUCCAGUUUUAUGUUUUAUGGUACUAUAUACCCUACUUCUUUCUGAUUCAAUUUUUCCAUAAUGUUUCAAUUUUUUCUGAUAGCAGAUGUUCUCUAUUUUAGGUUUAUGCAGUGCAAACUAUCAGUAAUAGCUUAAUGGACAUGCUGGAAUGUGCCCCCAGGAACCUUUUGGAAGCAAAUUUAAUUUUUAAGAGAAAAGAGAUUGGCAGUCUCCUUGAAAAUAUGCACUUAAGCCUGUGGUUUAAAAAAAGUUCAUGCCAUGUUACUCAAACCAUUUGAUGCUGUUGCUGUUUAACUUCACCAUGAGAUAGAAACAAUAAAACGUUAUAUUUGGGGAACUAUUUUUA